This 1136-nucleotide transfer RNA is filed under the name Rhizobium laguerreae. RNAcentral's name for it is "partial contains 16S ribosomal RNA, 16S-23S ribosomal RNA intergenic spacer, and 23S ribosomal RNA". The stretch from base 317 to 390 matches the Rfam family "tRNA". The record is from RNAcentral. Lineage: Bacteria; Pseudomonadati; Pseudomonadota; Alphaproteobacteria; Hyphomicrobiales; Rhizobiaceae.
AGACGAUCGGCACAUGUCCUCGGACAUGGCCCGAUAUGAACCUUCCCGUGCUUUUUAGAACAUAGAUGGCACCAGUCAGGUGACCAUCGAAACGUAAUACGCCGCGUAGACUUCGGUCACGACGGUAUGGCGAGCUUUCGCCGUCCACGUUUCUCUUUCUUCAAAAGGAUAUCGAACCAUGGGUUUGCGCUCGCGCGCUGUUCGCACCUUCGGUGCUGCGCUCCGCGAGGGCGCCGGACGACCGGCGACGGCCUCUGGCCUGUAUGGGCGACCCUUUCCGAGGUUUUGCUUAGGAUUGGCGUCGACGCAGAGAGAUGGGCCCGUAGCUCAGUUGGUUAGAGCACACGCUUGAUAAGCGUGGGGUCGGAAGUUCAAGUCUUCCCGGGCCCACCAUUUGCACCAGCAAAUGAGGUUUGCUGUAGCGAAUUGUGGUUUGUUUGGGUUUACCUGAUCCUGGCGGUUUGCUGUCAGGUGUUUGCGAUGGUUGGGGCUGUAGCUCAGCUGGGAGAGCACCUGCUUUGCAAGCAGGGGGUCAGCGGUUCGAUCCCGCUCAGCUCCACCAAUUCGCUUGGUGUCGAGACUGAGAGAGAUAUCCUUUGAAGAAAUAAAAGUUUUGCAUCGGCUUAUGGCUGAUGCUUGUUCUGCAUACAUUGUGAAGAGAAGAUUGAUCUGGAGGCUUCCAGGUGUUUUGGGUUCUGCCCAAAGCGUCCGAGCCCAGUUCUGAUGAUCCCAUGGAUGGCCUAGCCGGCCGGAUAUGGGUGAAGGACUGGAGGUAGGUAGGAAGCUUGUCACUCUGGAUCGUUCGUUGUUCGUUGCCUUUGGGCAUCGUCUGAUGAACGAUCGGAUUACCGUUGCCUGACCGCGCGGUAUCGGAUCCAAUCUCGAGAAGCUGGUCUUAAGACAGGCUGCAAGCGAGCUGCUCGGCGUAGCUCCAAUAAAGCAGACCUGUCGAACACGUUAAUGGCAUUGUUGGAUUGACUGGGUUGUAAAAGGUAACCCGGUCUGUUGCCGUUCCUUUGGAAUGGGCAACGAGACGAUGAGCAUUGGCAAUGAGAACGAUUAAGUGUCGUAAGGGCAUUUGGUGGAUGCCUUGGCAUGCACAGGCGAUGAAGGACGUGAUACGCUGCGAAAAGCCG